This 482-nucleotide ribosomal RNA is filed under the name uncultured bacterium. RNAcentral's name for it is "bacterial SSU rRNA". It matches the Rfam family "Bacterial small subunit ribosomal RNA", at positions 30 to 506 of the family's 1533-position model. The record is from RNAcentral.
UUGAACGCUGGCGGCAUGCUUUACACAUGCAAGUCGAACGGCAGCGGGGGCUUCGGCCUGCCGGCGAGUGGCGAACGGGUGAGUAAUGCAUCGGAACGUACCCAGUCGUGGGGGAUAACUACGCGAAAGCGUAGCUAAUACCGCAUACGCCCUGAGGGGGAAAGCGGGGGACCUUCGGGCCUCGCGCGAUUGGAGCGGCUGAUGUCGGAUUAGCUAGUUGGUGGGGUAAAGGCCUACCAAGGCGACGAUCCGUAGCGGGUCUGAGAGGAUGAUCCGCCACACUGGGACUGAGACACGGCCCAGACUCCUACGGGAGGCAGCAGUGGGGAAUUUUGGACAAUGGGGGCAACCCUGAUCCAGCCAUUCCGCGUGAGUGAAGAAGGCCUUCGGGUUGUAAAACUCUUUCGGCAGGAACGAAACGGUGAUUACUAAUACUAGUCACUAAUGACGGUACCUGAAGAAGAAGCACCGGCUAACUACGU